UACGAAGGGGGCUAGCGUUGCUCGGAAUUACUGGGCGUAAAGGGCGCGUAGGCGGAUAGUUUAGCCAGAGGUGAAAGCCCAGGGCUCAACCUUGGAAUUGCCUUUGAUACUGGCUAUCUUGAGUUCGGGAGAGGUGAGUGGAAUGCCGAGUGUAGAGGUGAAAUUCGUAGAUAUUCGGCGGAACACCAGUGGCGAAGGCGACUCACUGGCCCGAUACUGACGCUGAGGCGCGAAAGCGUGGGGAGCGAUCCGG
This 253-nucleotide ribosomal RNA is filed under the name uncultured bacterium. Its description in RNAcentral is "partial 16S ribosomal RNA". It matches the Rfam family "Bacterial small subunit ribosomal RNA", at positions 524 to 776 of the family's 1533-position model. The record is from RNAcentral.